Molecule: ribosomal RNA, 433 nt
Filed under: uncultured bacterium
Lineage: Bacteria
Description: partial 16S ribosomal RNA
Rfam family: Bacterial small subunit ribosomal RNA
Source: RNAcentral
AACGAACGCUGGCGGCAUGCCUAACACAUGCAAGUCGAACGAGACCUUCGGGUCUAGUGGCGCACGGGUGCGUAACGCGUGGGAACCUGCCCUUAGGUUCGGAAUAACUCCCCGACAGGGGUGCUAAUACCGGAUAAUGUCUGCGGACCAAAGAUUUAUCGCCCUUGGAGGAGCCCGCGUUGGAUUAGCUAGGUGGUAGGGUAAAAGCCUACCACGGCGACGAUACAUAGCUGGUCUGAGAGGAAGAGCAGCCACACUGGGACUGAGACACGGCCCAGAAUCCUACGGGAGGCGGCAGUGGGUAAUAUUGGACAAUGGGCGAAAGCAUGAUCCAGCAAUGCCGGGUGAGUGAUGAAGGCCUGAGGGUUGUAAAGCUCUUUUACCCGGGAUGAUAAUGACAGUACCGGGAGAAUAAGCUCCGGCUAACUCCGUG